AUGACUGAAGGAGGAUAUUUGGCUCUUCAAUCAGUGCUAGCUCUAGUUUUACUUGUUGUUACUGCUGUUGCCGGCUCUGCACCUCUUUUGCUACUAACAUUCCUUAAAAAGAAAGGGAAAGAUCAAAAUGACAGCGGAUGGCUUUCAUAUCUAUCAUGCUUCUCCGGUGGUGUAUUUAUGGCAACUUGCUUUUUAGAUGUAAUGCCACAUGUUCAACAAACAUAUGGAGAAAUUCUGGAAACUUAUAACGUAGAAUUCCGGUUACCCAUGAAUCAAUUGUUCAUUUGUGUUGGAUUUUUCUUUGUAUAUUUGAUUGAAGAAAUCACUGCAAAGGUAUUUGGAUCAGGAGGUCAUGGACACUCACACGGGCCACCAAUACCUCUCACAGUAGACAUUAAAAAAGAAAAAGUUACCAGGUACGCUUUUACGAUUUUAAUAAUUUCCUCACUAAUCCAAGUCCCUUGUGGUUUCCAAGUAUCAAUUUCUCUAUCCUUUCACUAAUUUGCACGAUAAUACAACUUCUUAGCAUGGUGUGUGGUGUUUCUUCAGAGUUCAACUUAUUGAAAAUGGAUCUUCAUCUUCUCCAGAAACAUUGAUGAUUCCGAUCGACAGUCGAACAAGGCACAGGUUUGAAAAGUUACUAGUUUCUGGUUUUUGCAUGGGGUUUUAGUUGCUGAACUAAUUUUGUGUUUGCUAAUUCUAUUAAUAUUUGCUUUAACAAUCACUAUGCUAAAAUUGACUAGUAAUGUGCUUGUGGGCUCUAUUUUUGUAACUCACUAGGAAUUACAGGAAUUUCGAGUGGCCAUUUGGCUUUAAACUUAGACUAUUGUAAUGCUGAAAUUCCAACUGGAAGAAUCUGAAGACCUUUUUUUUGUGGACAUACUUGAACAUCUGGAAAUUCAAGUGUGAAAUUACUACCAAAUAGAUUCAGCUUGUUUCUUAGCUCCUAGCUUGAAGCCUGAAUUUUAAACAUUAAUUUCUUGAGUUUCAAAUGUUCACAGAAAAAAUGAGUAUCAGAGUAUUUCAGCUAGCAAUUAUUUAUUUGGAUUGUCAGCCAUGAGGAUGAUUUCAAAAGUUGUUAUAAUUUUUCAAAACUAUUACCAAAAAUUUUACUCACUCUAAAUUUUCACAGCACUGAAUGAAUAAGUAUUUUCAGUCUUCUCGACCUUACUUUUCAAAAUUUAAAUUUCAGUUUGGUUGUCGAGGAAACAGCGCCAUGGGUUGUUUCGGAUGAGAAAAGAAAUCUUCUCAAAUCACUUACAUUUGCCAUUGCAAUGUCUUUCCAUUCACUUCUAGAAGGAUUUGCACUCGGAGUUCAAGAUUCUGAUGCUGCCAUUUGGACAUUGUUCCUUUCUCUUCUUCUUCACAAGUCGAUUGAAGCAUUUUCAGUCGGAUUGCAAAUUUCAAGAGCUAAUACAGAGAAGAAAGGAAUUGUCAUGUGCACAAUUCUCGUCUAUGCACUUAUGACACCACUUGGAUCAGUUCUUGGAACCUUGCUACAGAACACCGGAGAUAAAUCAUUUGGAAAAGAUUGCACUAUUGUAUUUUUAGAAGCAAUGGCUGCUGGAACUUUCAUUUAUGUUACAUUCCUUGAAAUUCUUGCCGCAGAAAAAGAGAAUCGAUUCAAUUCGCUCAAGCAAUUGUUAUGUAUUGGUCUUGGUUUUAUGGUUAUUCUUGCUUUACAAUUUUUCUUUGGACAUGAAGGUCAUGGUCACGGACAUCCAGAUCAUGGUGUACCAUCACCAUCAGCACUCCCAUCACCUUCAUUUUCAUUCGCACCUGCUGUAUGA
Molecule: RNA transcript, 1790 nt
Organism: Caenorhabditis elegans
Lineage: Eukaryota; Metazoa; Nematoda; Chromadorea; Rhabditida; Rhabditidae
Gene: zipt-2.1
Gene name: Non-coding transcript of protein-coding gene zipt-2.1
Exons: 5
Source: RefSeq, marked reviewed